This 2947-nucleotide long non-coding RNA is filed under the name Sus scrofa (pig). Its description in RNAcentral is "lncRNA (ENSSSCG00055023630.1)". The record is from RNAcentral. Lineage: Eukaryota; Metazoa; Chordata; Mammalia; Artiodactyla; Suidae.
UUUUUUUUUUUUUUUUAUGGUCGCAGCCCUGACAUGUGAGGUUCCCUGGUCAGGGAUUGAAUCUGAGCCACAGCUGCAGCAAUGCCAGACCCCUUAACCUACAAAGGAUCAAACCCCUGCCUUCACAGCAACCCGAGCCACUGCAGUCAAGAUUCUUAACCCGCAGUGUCACAGCAGGAACUCCAUGUGGCAGCUUUUAAGAAAUGGAAACAGGGGGUUAUCCCAGAGGUGGCAGGCAGAGGGAAUGGCCAGAGUGAUUAGAGAUUGAUUACACUGAAGGAUCAUGUUAUUUGACUAAGCAAGUAAGUAAACAUAUUGCCAUACUGGGAGCCAAGUUUCUCACUAUCUGAAAAUUUAAAAACUUGGAGGGAGUGCCUACCAAGGCUCAGCGGUAACGAACCUGAGGAUGCAGAUCCAAUCCCUUGCCCUGACCAGUGGGUUAAGUAUUCAGCACUGCGACGAGCUGUGGUGUAGGUCGCAGACAUAGCUCGGAUCUGGACUUGCUGGUGCUGUCAUGUUGGCUAGCAGCUGCAGCCACACUUCGACCCCUAGCCUGGGAACUUCCAUACGCUGUGGGUGUGGCCCAAAAAAGGGAAAAAAAAAAAAAGAAAAGACAAACAUGGAAAGGAUGAAGACUAAAAAAAACUCAAGUAUUAGAUCAGAAUUGGAAAUAGUAUGACGUCAUGAGCUCAUGAUUUUUAUUUAUUUAUUUAUUUACUUAUUUAUUUUUUGUCUUUUUGCCAUUUCUUGGGCCACUCCCACGGCAUAUGGAGGUUCCCAGGUUAAGGGUCGAAUCAGAGCUCCNGCCACUGGCCUAUGCCAGAGCCACAGAAACAUGGGAUCUGAGCCUCAUCUGCAAACUACACCACAGCUCAAAGAAACACCGGAUCCAAAACCCACUGAGCGAGGCCAGGGAUUGAACCCGAAACCUCAUGGUUCCUGGUCAGAUUUGCUAACCACUGAUGGAAACUCCCCAUAUUUUUUUAAUAUAUGUACUAACACAGCAAUAGUUACAAAUCCAUUUACUUGUAUCAUUCUAGUCAUAUGCUAUAUAUACACACACACAAAAUAUAUAUUUAUAGUAAAUACAUAUUUCCAAAUAAAACAUAGAUAUGUAUUUCUGUUAUUUAUGUACACAUACACAUGUCCUUCUUAGCUCUGUCUGCUGAGCGGCUCUAGAAGCACUGACACUCCUGUAGCACUGAGCACACUUGAGUAACCAGAUUUUGGUGUCUAAAUCCUAACUACACCACAAGGAACCAGGGGGCUCUGUGGAGAACAUCUCACGCAGGAAAAGCACAAAAUGAGUCUGAAUCAUCUUGCUCACCAUAAAGUAAAGACAUGCCUGAGGAGUGACUCCAAACACGUCAAAAGGACACAAAAGCAGACCAAAGGGACACACGUGCUCUGGCCAAAUCGGGGUGAAUUUAGUCAUAAAAAUAAAUACGAACAACCCAAAUUAUAACCCUUGGAAUAAAAGAAAAGUACGAACAAAUACAAAGGAACAGAGAAGGAGGAAAACUCCUUUACCCUAAUACGGGUAGAAAGAAUGACGUCAAGAGACAAUCACCACUUGGCAAGCAACACACGAGCAGCUGACAGUGGCCGGAGCUGUGAGUACCGGCCACCACCGGUGCAUGGAGACUUGACAGGGAACAGGAGGUCUGACCAUCUUCCCUGACAAACUACGACAAAGGGGACAACACUUAUGUCACCGCAGACAAAGGCACCACACACCAACAGGACCGCUGAUGAAGGUUCCCAUCCGCCACGACGGGAGACGCCAGAAUCACGCAGCCCCUCGUGUCUUGCACUGAGAACACAGCCCCACUUCUGCGGUGUCCCUGCCAAGAGUCCACGGCCUGCGUCUGCACGUGAGGAAGCACUGGACGGGCCCGGCUUAAGGGCCUCCCUAGGAAAUGUGCUGUCCACUGUGUGUGAGGACGUGAGAGGUGGGGAAAGGGUACAGAACUGCUCAGGAUGAGAAAAGAUAGAGUGUUUCUGCAGAGAAUCCUGAGCCAAAAGGAAAAAAAGGCACUUUCUGGGGCAGAUGGUGAGGUCUGACGGAGCUUACGGAUCGGAUGGUAGCAACGGCCCCAACGCCAACUCCCUGGCUGCCAGGCACGUGAGGUGGUAACGUGGGAACAGUGGCCAGGGCACCCAAGGAUGACGGUACACGGUGUCAGAAAAAGACUAUGUGGGGGAGGGCGGGGGGCAAAGAGAGUCAAAAGGCAGCAGCUGGGGAAUCAAGGCAAGGGGACGUGGGACUCCUGGGCAUUCCUUUAACUGUUUGGUAAAAACUGUUGAAAUUUUUAAAAAAGUGGCCCCAGAAAAGGCAAAAAGAGGAAAAAAAAGGUUUUUUAAUAAAUAAAAAGAUGUCCACAACUUAGCUUUUGUGGUUUCUCCUAUAACCACGUUUCGCCCACCAUCCUCUUUCCUAAUAGAAGUAAACGGCCCUCUUGAUUCCACUCUUCCGCCUCUCAGGCCCCAAAUCUUAGGCAUGGGUUUUUCAGGUGUAAUCACACCCUGCAUCCCAUUCCCGAGCUAAUCCUGUUGGUUCCACCUACGAAACGGAGAGAAUCCACCCACCUCACACCACCACCCCAGUCACAGCCGACGGCCUCACGUCUCAACGGAGCCAAUGCAGACAUCGCCUCCGCACCGCGUCCCUGCCACUCACCCUGGCCCGACCACACAGCCUUUCCUCUAGACAGCUGCCAGGCCUUUGUUCUAAAAGGCUCGGAACUCCUCCCACGUCCCCCAGGGACCAUCAAAGCCGUAGUGCUUACUGUGGCCCACGGUCGACAGAACCUGCCACUCUCAAUGCCACCUCAGGCACUAUCCUAUUAUGGACGGAACUGCGUGCCCCCGAAUUCAAGUUGAAGUCCUACCUCCCAGCACCUUAGAAUACACUGUAUUUGGCUAUUCGGUCUUUCUUUGCUUUUUU